This 254-nucleotide ribosomal RNA is filed under the name uncultured bacterium. Its description in RNAcentral is "partial 16S ribosomal RNA". It matches the Rfam family "Bacterial small subunit ribosomal RNA", at positions 524 to 775 of the family's 1533-position model. The record is from RNAcentral.
UACGAAGGGGGCUAGCGUUGCUCGGAAUCACUGGGCGUAAAGGGUGCGUAGGCGGGUCUUUUAAGUCAGGGGUGAAAUCCUGGAGCUCAACUCCAGAACUGCCUUUGAUACUGAGGAUCUUGAGUUCGGGAGAGGUGAGUGGAACUGCGAGUGUAGAGGUGAAAUUCGUAGAUAUUCGCAAGAACACCAGUGGCGAAGGCGGCUCACUGGCCCGGUACUGACGCUGGAGGUGCGAAAGCGUGGGGAGCAACAGG